CGAACGCUGGCGGCGCGCUUAACACAUGCAAGUCGAGCGAGAACCGGGGCUUCGGCCCUGGGGACAGCGGCGAACGGGUGAGUAACACGUGAGUAACCUGCCCUCGGCACCGGAAUAGCCCGGGGAAACUCGGAUUAAUGCCGGAUACGCCCCACAGUCCUGCGGGACGGUGGGAAAAGGUAGCUUCGGCCUCUGGCCGAGGAUGGGCUCGCGGCGGAUUAGCUUGUUGGCGGGGUAACGGCCCACCAAGGCGACGAUCCGUAGCUGGUCUGAGAGGUCAAUCCCCCACACUGGCACUGAGAUACGGGCCAGACUCCUACGGGAGGCAGCAGUAGGGAAUAUUGGGCAAUGGACGCAAGUCUGACCCAGCCAUGCCGCGUGCAGGAAGAAGGCGUUAUGCGUUGUAAACUGCUUUUAUACAGGAAGAAACGACUCUUGCGAGAGGCAUUGACGGUACUGUAUGAAUAACGCACCAGCUAACUCCGUGCCAGCAG
This 494-nucleotide ribosomal RNA is filed under the name uncultured bacterium. RNAcentral describes it as "bacterial SSU rRNA". It matches the Rfam family "Bacterial small subunit ribosomal RNA", at positions 30 to 514 of the family's 1533-position model. The record is from RNAcentral.